UACUUAAAUAGUUUAUUGAAAAUUAUAAAUUGUGGAUUUAUAGAAGUGUAAUAUUAUACUUUAGGUAA
This 68-nucleotide transfer RNA is filed under the name Quadristernoseta cf. longigynium XFX-2019. Its description in RNAcentral is "tRNA-His". The record is from RNAcentral. Lineage: Eukaryota; Metazoa; Arthropoda; Arachnida; Mesostigmata; Diplogyniidae.